Long non-coding RNA from Gadus macrocephalus (Pacific cod), 1714 nucleotides. RefSeq lists it as uncharacterized. The transcript is spliced from 4 exons. Lineage: Eukaryota; Metazoa; Chordata; Actinopteri; Gadiformes; Gadidae. The record is from RefSeq and is a predicted model, not a curated record.
CUGGAGGGCCCGGAGGCGGCGGCUCCUCAUCCAGUAAAGCUAAACUCUUCUCCAGUGCAUCAUGAACAGGGAGGAAUGUCCGGGGUGCAAAUAGAACCUGUGUCACAUUUCAGAAGAAAUGAGGCGACGUUGCGGAGGUCCAGGCGGUUGGCCCGGUGGAGGUCCUGGAGGAGACGGUCCCGGCGGUGGAGGACGGCUGGGGGAUCCGGCGGUGGAGGUCUGAAGGCGGCUCGUGAUUAGACCAACCAGCUCCUCAUCCAUGGAAGGAUUGAAGGAGUCACUGGGGAUGAAGAUCACUGCUCAGGGGCUGACGACCACUCAUCUUUCCCGAGAAGGUACAUAAAUCUACAGCUGAUGUGACAGGACAUGAAGUUCUGCAGUUCAGAUCCGCUGAUAAAUGGUCCCAUACCGUAUCCACAGCGUCCUCAUGGUGCAGGCGGUCAAACCUCCACCUCUUUGAAGAGACCAAGCAGCUUGAUGACUGACUGGUUCUUUAUACUCAAGACCUCGUCCCGGAGCAGAGGACGGACCUAAGGCCCGCAGCGCAGCAGACUAGAGACUCCAUGUGGAACCGGUUCAAUUAAGUUGACCUCUCCUUCAGGAGACUUAAAGGGAGACCAGAUGUGCGGCAGCUGGGUGUCAUGGUGCAGAGACCCAACGCUGUACUGAACUACACCAGUGUGUCCUACUCCCAUAAACCCUGAGGAUCCCUGGAUGGCUACACCAGCACAUUAAUCCACACCCAACAUCAACACACAGUGCACACUCCAGAGCUCGUAAGUCCGCCCCUUGCGGCGGGACCUCGUGAGAUAGUAAGAUAUGACUGGGUUUCAAUGGAGAGAAAGUAAUUAUUUUCUCCAUUUUAUGUUGCACCACAUUUUGGGGGAAGAAUGUUUGAAUCAAUCUUUGUCAUUUAUUUCUGUACUCCAUAUCUGUAAUCCCAGCUGUUGUAUUUUAACACGGUAGCUGGGAACCUUCUUUAUAGGGAGCGACUAGAGGGACGAGGCUGGAAGCAAACCUGAGCCUGGAUCUUAACCUUCUUUCUAAACCUAAUGCCGCAAUUUAACCGCAAAUAAAGUGAGGCCUAAAGUAACUUGACUCUCUUACCUAAACUUGCUUGCCUAAACUCGCUUGCAUAAAACCUAAACUUGCUUGCAUAAAACCUGAACUUGCUUGGCUAAACUCACGUCGCUUGCCUAAUACCUGAACUCGCUUGCCUAAACUCGCUUGCCUAAUACCGGAACUCGCUUGCCUAAACUCGCUUGCCUAAACUCGCUUGCCUAAACUCGCUUGCCUAAUACCUAAACUCACUUAGCUUGACUCGCUUGCCUGUACUCCCUCGGCUAAACUCGCUUGCAUAAAACCUAAACUCGCUUGCAUAAAACCUAAACUCGCUUAGCUUGACUCGCUUGCCUGUACUCGCUUGGCUAAACUCGCUUGCCUACUACCUGAAGUCGCUUGCCUAAUACCUGAAGUCGCUUGCCUGAAGUCGCUUGCCUAAAACCUAAACUUGCUUGUCCAAACACGUUACACAAAGUUAACCAUCCAUAAUCUUUAACCCAAACCAGACUUGUCCCUGGGUCGCUCCACUUUAAUUGAGAAGUUUCUUCUUUUACCUCAUCUGCGUUUUGAGUUUCAUUCUUUGAGGGCUUGAAGUGCUUUGGAGGAUAUUUGAACCUUUGUUUGCCGCAUCAAUAAACAUGCUUUAUCUUUA